CCUACGGGGAGCAGCAGUGAGGAAUAUUGGUCAAUGGACGAGAGUCUGAACCAGCCAAGUAGCGUGAAGGAUGACUGCCCUAUGGGUUGUAAACUUCUUUUAUAUGGGAAUAAAACGUUCCACGUGUGGGAUUUUGUAUGUACCAUAUGAAUAAGGAUCGGCUAACUCCGUGCCAGCAGCCGCGGUAAUACGGAGGAUCCGAGCGUUAUCCGGAUUUAUUGGGUUUAAAGGGAGCGUAGGUGGAUUGUUAAGUCAGUUGUGAAAGUUUGCGGCUCAACCGUAAAAUUGCAGUUGAAACUGGCAGUCUUGAGUACAGGAGAGGUGGGCGGAAUUCGUGGUGUAGCGGUGAAAUGCUUAGAUAUCACGAAGAACUCCGAUUGCGAAGGCAGUUCACUGGACUGCAACUGACACUGAGGCUCGAAAGUGUGGGUAUCAAACAGGAUUAGAUACCCCAGUAGUC
RNAcentral lists this ribosomal RNA (460 nucleotides) under uncultured bacterium. RNAcentral's name for it is "partial 16S ribosomal RNA". It matches the Rfam family "Bacterial small subunit ribosomal RNA", at positions 338 to 795 of the family's 1533-position model. The record is from RNAcentral.